Molecule: long non-coding RNA, 1752 nt
Organism: Pavo cristatus (Indian peafowl)
Lineage: Eukaryota; Metazoa; Chordata; Aves; Galliformes; Phasianidae
Source: Ensembl
GUAGGCCUGCCGCCGGAACCGCCGGGCGCAGCGCGGGCACUCGAACAGCCCCUCCUCGGAGCCCGCCUCCGAAGCGCCGCCGGGGCUCGGCGUGUCCCGCUCCGCCGCCGCCGCCGCCUCCUUGGGGGGCUCCGCCGCCUCGGGGCCGCUCUUGGCGGGGGGCCGCGGUUUGUGCCAACGGCGGUGCGAGGCGAGGUUGGCGGGGCAGGAGAACACCUUGUCGCACUCGGGGCAGCGGUACUCCACGCGGACGAUGCGCGAGCAGCGGUGCUGCGCCAGCGCGAAGGGGUCCCCGUACUCCUCCUUGCAGAGCUGGCAGAUGAACUCGCCCAGCGGCCGCGCGCAGCCCCCGCGCCGUGCCGGCGCCUCCACCGGGCCCUCCUUGAUGCGCAGCCCCAGCACCGGGGACGUGGUCACCUCGUCCUCGAAGGUCAGCUUGCGGAUCGCCUUCGCCUUCUUGCCGGCCGCGGCCUUCUGCCGGCCGGGCUCGGCGGGACGCUUGGCGGCCGGAGCGGCGGCGCCGCCGCCGCCGCUGGGGUUGGGGGGCGGCCGGGCGGCCCAGAGCUUGAGCUCGGCGGGGGCGAGCAGCAGCGGGUCCAUGCUGCUGGGCACGGCGGGCGCGGGGAACGACUCGGCCGAGACGGGCGAGCCCAGGCUGAAGCCGCGCUCCAGCAGCGCGUCGCGGCUGACGGGCCGCGUGGGGCUGCGCAGCGCCUGCACGGGGCCAUCGGGCGUCCCGAAGGGCACGGGAGGAGGAGGCGGCGGCGGCGGGGGAGGAGGGGGAGGCGGCGGCGGAGCGGCGGGCGGAGGGGCGCGCACCCGGUAGGAUACGGGCGUGGGCCGCCGGCUGCGCUUCACCAGGAAACCGCGGGGCAUCUUCGGGCGGGCGGUCCGCGCCCGGCGGCGGUGAGCGGCGCUCCCUCCCUCCUCCUGCCCGCCGCCGCCGCCGCCUUUAAGAGAGCCGGGGCCAUUGUUCGGCCCGGCGGCGGCGGGCGCGGCCAAUCAGCGGCGGCGGCGGGCGGGGCGGCGGCACCUGAGCCCCGCGGCCGGCACACGCCCGGCCCGCCCCCGGCACGCGUGGCCCUUUGUGUGCGCGGGGCCGCUCCGAGCGCCGGUCGCGCUCUUUCUUUGCCCGCUCGCGGCUCCGAAGGCGCGCGGGGCCGUGCCCGCCGGGCCGCGGGCGUCGCCGAGCGGGAGGCCGGGCCGCCACCUGUUAGCGCCGCGCCCGCUCCCCGCCGCCGGGUGCCCGCCCCGCGCCCCUUUGUCCCUCGGCCCCGCAGGUGGCGGCGCGGCGGGGGGGCGGCGAGCAGCCGGCGGGGACCCCCGUCCCCUCCCCUCCCUUCUCUNCCCCACGCGCGGACCCCCGACCUCCCCCCACCCCGGCCCCGGGUCGGAGCGGACGCGGCCGCCAGGCGGAGCUCAGCGCCCCGCUCCACGCUCACCUGCCGGGCGGCCGCGGGCGUACAUGGGCAGCUGGGCGCCGUGCCGCAGCAGGUAGCGCACGGCCGGGCCCGCGAGCAGCGGCGGGACGGGGCUGUCCUCGGUCUGCCGCUCCGGGGGCACCUGCGGGGAAAGCACGUGUCGGAGGAAAUCCCCCAGCCCCUGCGCCCGCCCCCCCCAACUUCCCCAGGUAACUCCCGCUCUGCUUUGGGCUCGGAGCGGCCCCGCUGCGAGUGGGGAAUCGGAGCGCCGAGGAGAAGCGGCGGUGGCGGAGUAGCGCUGUGCGGGGCAGCGCCGUACGCCGCCGGCUGA